Equus caballus (horse) is the source of this 3426-nucleotide long non-coding RNA. NCBI's taxonomy places the organism in Eukaryota, Metazoa, Chordata, Mammalia, Perissodactyla, Equidae. The record is from Ensembl.
AGAGGCUGGCAGAGGAGGCGCUGGCAGAGACGCCAGGUGGGUCUGCGCUUUGGGACGGGAACCUCACAGCCACAGUCACGUCCCCAGAAAAGGGAACACAGGACUUGGAGACGUUUCGAUGUUUUCAAGACCUGGGAAACGUGUUUAAAGGCAAACAGCAAAGCUUGACCAUGUAGAGAUAGAUGUCCUUCCUAUUUAGCAAUUCACUCAGAGAGAAGAGAACGCGUGAUUUGGGGGCAGAAGAGAAAGAAACUGAGUUGAGAAACAGAAAAUUCAGAUUUUCUAAAAGCGUCCAGAAGUGAACAGUGAGUAAAAACGCCCCACGUGACACUGAGAAAUGUCCCCAGAGCCGCGCAGUCCCAAGGCCGCCAUUGAAAAGUCUCCACGCUGGAACUGCUAUUUCCAGCACUUACUGUCAGGGACUGAGUUUGAGUUUGCGUUUUGCAAACCAUCUCCUCCAUCGUUUUGGUUUUCCACAGUGACGCAAAGAGUUGCCCUCCCUCUCUGGUUUCUUAUGGCGGCUGGUUUCCUUCCAUCUUUUUCAAAUAACGCAUUUCCACUUAGCUGGUGCCGUCUUCUGGGAUUAAUUAGUGACUGCGCAAGGUACACGGGGUUUCCGCGGCCGGCACCUCUUGACAGACGGCAGUUGGAAAGAAAUGGGAAAUGAUUGCAGAGAUGGUAAUUUAUUUUUCUAGGAAGAAAAAAAAAGACCUAAAUUAUAGGAACCAACAGUCCCUGUUGCUGGAAAAUGCUGGGGAUCUGGAGUGAAUAAAUAUUCCUGAGAUGAGACGACCGUGACCUUGUGUGGGGAGCUUGGGGCAAUCACCUGGAUAACACGAGCCAGGAGAGGGCAGGGAUGGAAGAAAACAUUUCUGAAGCUCAUUCAUCCUGAAAUGCCUGGGUCAGACAGUUGACUCUGUGGAUGCCGCCAGAAUUCAUCUCAGAGAGAGGCAGGCACAGAGAAAUAUUCCAGCUGAGCGGAGCCACCAGGAAAUGUGCGCUCCACAGAUCAGGCUCCAAGUUGCAGGUGCACACGUGUGUGUACAUGUGUGUGCAUGUAUGUGCAUGUGAAGGCAACAUGACAGCCCUGAGGUGAGGCCCAUCCCCAGGCCUCCCGAGGCUCAGGUGGUCCCUUGAAGGGGGCCUGCAGGCACCCAGCAUGCAGACACACCGCCAUUGAGCCCUCGCGUUGCUAGUCUAAUUCUCUCCGCCUGCAGAGUGGGUGCUGUGAUGCCCAUUGAAGAGAUGAAGAAGCCAAGGCUCAGAGAGGUACAGGAACUUGUCCAGGGUCACAUUCAUUUGGCAGGGCAGCCAGGGUUUAAGCCCAGGUUUUUCUGUAAAGGCUGCGUGUGGCCUGGCCCACGGUAUUUGCAGCCACAGAGCAGGCUGCGUUUUAAAUCCACCAAGGGCAGCAGGGGGGCUGGGCGGGAGCAGCGUCCCUGGGGCUCACGGAAGCGCCGAGCGCCCCCCAGUCCUCACUGGGCUGUGGUGUGGAGCAUGAAGGGCUAAUUUCAUGGCUGAUAAAACUCUCUAUGCACGAGACUUCACAGACAAAUGAGAGCACUGCUCUGCUCCUUUUCAUGAGGACAUUUAUUUUCUCCUUUCCUUGGGAAGGCACUUCUUCCGGCCUUCCUCAGUCCUGGCCCCUGCAGCUGUGCAAAGGAGGAUCAGGGCUUCUGUGAUGGAAGUGCAGACACCAGGACAGAAAAGUGGCUGGUUCAGGGAGGAGGGCCGGGCCAUGCUCCCUGCUGGGAGCAGAUGGGGCCAAGAGGGAGGCUGGUGGGAGGAUCUGGGUAGCUCUGAAGGAUGCUCCGUGUUAUCCUGAAGGGGCGCAUCCUCAUCGGGUUUGAAACAAUGGGACUUGGUUCAAUGGAGAAAUGAUCUCAUCAGCCUGUUUCUCCUCAUGGCCUUCCCCAGCCAUACCCUGCUUUGCGAGGAAUUCUCCAGGAUGCGGGCAAUCAUGGCCUGCUCCAGAAGGCCUUCCGGAGUGCUCUGGCUCACUGGCAUCUCCUUUUCUCAGAACCCUAUCCGAGACCGACUCUCCUAACCUCUGGCCCUCUCCUAACCUCCAUGGGCCAGGAUCUGGCAUUUCAGGAGAUUCUCACUGGAGACCCCCCGUGUGCCCCAUAGUGCAGACGAGGAAGCUGAGGUUCGGUCUGUUGGGUGUGAUCCCAGCUGCCAACUGAUGGAGCCUGAUGAGGUCCACCAGCCGUCUGGUCCACGUCCAGCACCGGGGCUGGCUAGGUCACGUGACUGAACUUUUCACAGUCCUCUCUCUUACCCGAGCACUUCAGUAUGUUUGAUUUUUCUCCUUAAUUAUGCUAGAGGCUUCUUGGGAGCAGAUACCAUAUUUUCUUUCUCUUGCACCCUCUCUCCAGUGUGAAACAUAGACACACACAUCCAUGGAAGAGAGAGCAACACACACACACAACACAGAGACACAAAGAGCCACCCACAGAUAAACACACACAAGACACACACAGAAUACACAUAUGAACGCACAUGUCCAAACCCACACUCGAGGCUAUGUGUGCAUGACGUCUGCACACACAAAUAUGGUCACUGACGUCCCCUCCCCGAGCACACAGGCCUGACAAGGAAAGAAAGCUGUAAAAGGGAUUUUAGCAGAAAGCAGGACCAAUGACAGGACCAGCGCCCGCCUUGUGAGUCCUGGGCUCAGCAACAUUUGGCCCCUCCUGCCACCUCUGGGUCUGGCAUGUGUGAGUGGCCUGGCUCUGGAAUCAGUCACUGGCCUGUGCAUCCAGCAAGUGCCAGGAACUCUCCCAGCCUCAGUUUCCCCCUCCGUCACAUGUGGUUAGCCUGCCCUGCUCAUGGAUCAUUGUGAGGAUUAGAUGAGAGAACAGAUGCCAUAACGUCUGGUUCACAAGAAGCAGAGCUCUCAUUUCUCCCUGAGCGAGGAGCCUGACGGUUCAGAAGGGCCAUGGGGAGGCCGGAAAGGGGACACAGAGAGUUUCACAAACUGACAUUUAAAAAAAAUUAAAACUGUAUCAUUUAUAUCACAUUUUUCUUAUUUUAUAGGUAAGAUACAGUCCGUUUUAAAUAUUUUAGAAAACCAGAAUCAUACUGAGAAGAAUAUUUUUAAAGUAACCCCACCCCGUCAUCCACUGACUCACUCCACGAGCUCUUCUGAGAGCUGCCUGUGCUGGUCCCGUUUCAGGCCCUGGGGUCCAGCUUGAGCGAGAUAGGGAAAGCACCUGCGCGGAAGGUUCUGGGGGGAGAGGGCGGGCCGCAGACGGGCCCACAGACAGAGGCUCCUGCUCCUGGGGCUCUCCUCGCUGUAACCGCAGCUGCACACAGAUGUGGGGAGAGUGAGGGUUGAUUGUAUGUGUCAGCUGGCCGGGGCCACAGGGCCCCAGCUAUCUGGUUCCAGACUACUUCUGGGUGUGUCUGUGAAGGUGCAUCUCC